GAUCAACGCUGACAGAAUGCUUAACACAUGCAAGUCGAUGGGGAAGUGGUGCUUGCACCAUGGCAACCAUGGCGGACGGGUGAGUAACGCGUAAGGGACUUACCUGCAGGACUGGGAUAACAGGGGGAAACUCCUGACAAGACCGGAUAAUGUCAUGGAGCUGCAUGGCUUUAUGAUGAAAGGAGACGCCUGCGGAGAGCCUUGCGUCCUAUUAGCUAGUUGGUGAGGUAAUGGCUCACCAAGGCGAAGAUAGGUAGCCGGCCUGAGAGGGUGGACGGCCACAAGGGGACUGAGAUACGGCCCUUACUCCUACGGGAGGCAGCAGUGGGGAAUAUUGGACAAUGGGGGCAACCCUGAUCCAGCAAUUCUGUGUGCACGAAGAAGGUUUUCGGAUUGUAAAGUGCUUUCAGCAGGGAAGAAGUAAGUGACGGUACCUGCAGAAGAAGCGACGGCUAAAUACGUG
Molecule: ribosomal RNA, 463 nt
Filed under: uncultured bacterium
Lineage: Bacteria
Description: partial 16S ribosomal RNA
Rfam family: Bacterial small subunit ribosomal RNA
Source: RNAcentral